AUGGCCAAGUUACUAAGGGCACAUGGUGGAUGCCUUGGCGCCAGCAAGCGAUGAAGGACGUGGUAAGCUGCGAUAAGCCCCGGUGAGGAGCAAACAUCCUUUGACCCGGGGAUUUCCGAAUGGGGCAACCCCACGCGGGUCAUGCCGCGUGAUCGCCGGCUGAAUCAGAUAGGCCGGACGAGGCGAACGGGGGGAACUGAAACAUCUCAGUACCCCCAGGAGAAGAAAGCAACAGCGACUUCCCUAGUAGUGGCGAGCGAACGGGAACAAGCCUAAACCGAUCUGCAUGUUCAAGCCCGCGCGCGUUGUGCAGACGGUGUCGUGGGGCCCGAUUGGACCGGUGUGCGGACCGGUCGGGGAGUGAGCAACCCGAGCUUCAGUCGAACGGCAUGGGAAGGCCGACCAUAGAGGGUGAUAGUCCCUUAGACGAAGGAGCGGAGGCUCCCUGGGUUGGGUACCCAAGUACUGCGGGGCACGUGAAACCCCGUGGGAAUCCGGGAGGACCACCUCCUAAGGCUAAGUAUUCGCUGGCGACCGAUAGCGAACCAGUACCGUGAGGGAAAGGUGAAAAGAACUCCUGGCGGAGAGUGAAAUAGAACCUGAAACCGUGUGCCUACAAGCUGUGGGAGGGUCUGCGCGGGCUUCGGCCCACGCAGAUCUGACCGCGUGCCUUUUGCAUAAUGAUCCGGCGACUUGUUAGAGCGUGGCGAGGUUAAGCGUCUGUGACGCGGAGCCGGAGCGAAAGCGAGUCCGAAAUGGGCGACAAUGAGUCGCGCUCUACAGACCCGAAGCCAGGUGAUCUACGCAUGGCCAGGGCGAAGCGCGUGUAGCAAUGCGUGGAGGCCCGAACUAGUGGUCGUUGAAAAGACUUUGGAUGAGCUGUGCGUAGGGGUGAAAGGCUAAUCAAACCUGGAGAUAGCUGGCUCUCCCCGAAAUAGGUUUUGGCCUAGCCUCGGUUCAUAGAGUGGCGGAGGUAGAGCACUGAUUGGGUUAGGGGGUUCACCGACCUGCCGACCCCAUUCAAACUCCGAAUGCCGUCAUCUCGUUUACCGGGAGUCAGCCUGCGGGUGAUAAGAUCCGCGGACGAGAGGGGAAGAACCCAGACCAGCAGCUAAGGUCCCCAAGUACUGGCUAAGUGAAGUAAGGAUGUGGGAUUGCUCAGACAGCUGGGAUGUUGGCUUAGAAGCAGCCACCAUUUAAAGAGUGCGUAACUGCUCACCAGUCAAG
This 1227-nucleotide ribosomal RNA is filed under the name Chloroflexota bacterium. RNAcentral describes it as "Chloroflexi bacterium (freshwater metagenome) partial 23S ribosomal RNA". It matches the Rfam family "Bacterial large subunit ribosomal RNA", at positions 1 to 1153 of the family's 2925-position model. The record is from RNAcentral. Lineage: Bacteria; Bacillati; Chloroflexota.